GACCAGACUCCUACGGGAGGCAGCAGUGAGGAAUAUUGGUCAAUGGGCGCGAGCCUGAACCAGCCAAGUCGCGUGAGGGAUGACGGCCCUACGGGUUGUAAACCUCUUUUGUCGGGGAGCAAAUUCCGCCACGUGUGGCGGAGUCGAGAGUACCCGAAGAAAAAGCAUCGGCUAACUCCGUGCCAGCAGCCGCGGUAAUACGGAGGAUGCGAGCGUUAUCCGGAUUUAUUGGGUUUAAAGGGUGCGUAGGCGGAAUAUCAAGUCAGCGGUAAAAAUUCGGGGCUCAACCCCGUCGUGCCGUUGAAACUGAUGUUCUUGAGUGGGCGAGAAGUAUGCGGAAUGCGUGGUGUAGCGGUGAAAUGCAUAGAUAUCACGCAGAACUCCGAUUGCGAAGGCA
RNAcentral lists this ribosomal RNA (397 nucleotides) under uncultured bacterium. RNAcentral's name for it is "bacterial SSU rRNA". It matches the Rfam family "Bacterial small subunit ribosomal RNA", at positions 329 to 723 of the family's 1533-position model. The record is from RNAcentral.